RNAcentral lists this non-coding RNA (29 nucleotides) under Mus musculus (house mouse). The record is from RNAcentral. Lineage: Eukaryota; Metazoa; Chordata; Mammalia; Rodentia; Muridae.
CUCACCAAUGACUUGUAGGAAGAUUUUGU